RNAcentral lists this ribosomal RNA (407 nucleotides) under uncultured bacterium. RNAcentral describes it as "partial 16S ribosomal RNA". It matches the Rfam family "Bacterial small subunit ribosomal RNA", at positions 28 to 526 of the family's 1533-position model. The record is from RNAcentral.
GACGAACGCUGGCGGCGUGCCUAAUACAUGCAAGUAGAAUGCAGUUGCGAACGGGUGAGUAACGCGUAGGUAACUGCCUAAUAGGGGGGGAUAACUAUUGGAAACGAUAGCUAAUACCGCAUACUGUGCGAUGGACCUGCGUUGUAUUGGUUAGUUGGUGAGGUAAAGGCUCACCAAGGCGACGAUACAUAGCCGACCUGAGAGGGUGACCCGCCAAAACGGGAACUAGACCAGGCCCAGAAUCCUACGGGAGGCAGCAGUAGGGAAUCUUUGGACAUGGACGGAAGGCCGACCGAGCAACGGCGCGGGAGUGAAGAAGGUUUUCGGAGUGUAAAGCUCUGUUGUGCGAGAAGCGUUAACUACACAGAAAGGGACGGCUAACUCCGUGCCAGCCGCCGCGGUAAUUC